Molecule: ribosomal RNA, 468 nt
Filed under: uncultured bacterium
Lineage: Bacteria
Description: partial 16S ribosomal RNA
Rfam family: Bacterial small subunit ribosomal RNA
Source: RNAcentral
GACGAACGCUGGCGGCGUGCUUAACACAUGCAAGUCGAACGGAAAGGCCCUGCUUUUGUGGGGUGCUCGAGUGGCGAACGGGUGAGUAACACGUGAGUAACCUGCCCUUGACUUUGGGAUAACUUCAGGAAACUGGGGCUAAUACCGGAUAGGAGCUCCUGCUGCGUGGUGGGGGUUGGAUAGUUUCGGCGGUUGGGGAUGGACUCGCGGCUUAUCAGCUUGUUGGUGGGGUAGUGGCUUACCAAGGCUUUGACGGGUAGCCGGCCUGAGAGGGUGACCGGCCAAAUUGGGACUGAGAUACGGCCCAGACUCCUACGGGAGGCAGCAGUGGGGAAUAUUGCACAAUGGGCGGAAGGCUGAUGCAGCCACGCCGCGUGCGGGAUGACGGCCUUCGGGUUGUAAACCGCUUUCGCCUGUGACGAAGCGUGAGUGACGGUAAUGGGUAAAGAAGCACCGGCUAACUACGUG